RNAcentral lists this microRNA precursor (84 nucleotides) under Tursiops truncatus (common bottlenose dolphin). RNAcentral's name for it is "mir-221 microRNA precursor family". It matches the Rfam family "mir-221 microRNA precursor family". RNAcentral also lists the same sequence under 4 other names. Lineage: Eukaryota; Metazoa; Chordata; Mammalia; Artiodactyla; Delphinidae. The record is from Rfam by way of RNAcentral.
UAGGGCAUGAACCUGGCAUACAAUGUAGAUUUCUGUGUUUGUUGGGCAACAGCUACAUUGUCUGCUGGGUUUCAGGCUACCUGG